GAGGCAAAGAAAGAUAAAUCGGCCCAAGAUAUUCAGCAAGCUGUAAAAAAUGAAAGGAAGAGGUUCAGAGAAGAAAUAUGAGUGACUAAAACAGAGUAUGAGAAAAAUAAAGGUUAAUGGGAAAGAGAGAAAUCAAUACUUUGAGGGAAACUAAAAGAAGCGGGCUUACAGAAUAACAGGUUACAAGAAGAGCUUAAUUGUCACAAGGUGUUAGUGGAUAAAUAUGAACAGGAACUAGAAAUGAAACGGAUUGAAUAUGAUGGACAAUCUCAGUUGA
RNAcentral lists this unclassified non-coding RNA (277 nucleotides) under Hevea brasiliensis (rubber tree). The record is from RNAcentral. Lineage: Eukaryota; Viridiplantae; Streptophyta; Magnoliopsida; Malpighiales; Euphorbiaceae.